GGGCCCGGAAGGAGUUUGCUCCUUCGACGUUAGCGGCGGACGGGUGAGUAACACGUGGGCAACCUACCUUAUAGUUUGGGAUAACUCCGGGAAACCGGGGCUAAUACCGAAUAAUCUGUUUCACCUCAUGGUGAAACACUGAAAGACGGUUUCGGCUGUCGCUAUAGGAUGGGCCCGCGGCGCAUUAGCUAGUUGGUGAGGUAACGGCUCACCAAGGCGACGAUGCGUAGCCGACCUGAGAGGGUGAUCGGCCACACUGGGACUGAGACACGGCCCAGACUCCUACGGGAGGCAGCAGUAGGGAAUCUUCCACAAUGGGCGAAAGCCUGAUGGAGCAACGCCGCGUGAGUGAAGAAGGAUUUCGGUUCGUAAAACUCUGUUGUAAGGGAAGAACAACUACAGUAGUAACUGGCUGUACCUUGACGGUACCUUAUUACAAAGCCACGGGUAACUACGUGCUUUCAGCCGCGGAAAUACCUAAG
RNAcentral lists this ribosomal RNA (482 nucleotides) under Lysinibacillus fusiformis. RNAcentral's name for it is "bacterial SSU rRNA". It matches the Rfam family "Bacterial small subunit ribosomal RNA", at positions 64 to 531 of the family's 1533-position model. Lineage: Bacteria; Bacillati; Bacillota; Bacilli; Caryophanales; Bacillaceae. The record is from RNAcentral.